RNAcentral lists this long non-coding RNA (317 nucleotides) under Theobroma cacao (cacao). RNAcentral describes it as "long non-coding RNA (TCAC_LNC002742)". Lineage: Eukaryota; Viridiplantae; Streptophyta; Magnoliopsida; Malvales; Malvaceae. The record is from RNAcentral.
AGAACUCUUUUAAGUCCUGCAAGAGUUGCAAUUUACUAGUACGUGACAGGAGAACUUGAUCAAGUAAUCAGCAUCUUGUCUCCAAACUUCGGAAGCAUUCCUACUUACAGUCUGCUAGAACUAGAAAGCCUAGGUAGAGCUAUGAAAGGAAAGCAUACAGGACCAUGAAGUUUUACAAGCUUUUGUAACAGGACAAGUUUUAGUGGUGAAGCAAAGCAGGGAGUGCAUCCGAACAGUAAUAACCUAGGACAAGACUGACGAUGAGUUUAACAAAGGGUCCCAUGAUGAUUGAUCAUGUUCCAACUCCGAGGUUUCUC